This 490-nucleotide ribosomal RNA is filed under the name uncultured soil bacterium. RNAcentral's name for it is "bacterial SSU rRNA". It matches the Rfam family "Bacterial small subunit ribosomal RNA", at positions 26 to 517 of the family's 1533-position model. The record is from RNAcentral.
AGAUUGAACGCUGGCGGCAGGCCUAACACAUGCAAGUCGAGCGGUAGAGAGGUGCUUGCAUCUCUUGAGAGCGGCGGACGGGUGAGUAAUGCCUAGGAAUCUGCCUAGUGGUGGGGGAUAACGUUCGGAAACGGACGCUAAUACCGCAUACGUCCUACGGGGGAAAGCGGGGGACCUUCGGGCCUCGCGCCAUUAGAUGAGCCUAGGUCGGAUUAGCUAGUUGGUGAGGUAAUGGCUCACCAAGGCGACGAUCCGUAACUGGUCUGAGAGGAUGAUCAGUCACACUGGAACUGAGACACGGUCCAGACUCCUACGGGAGCAGCAGUGGGAAUAUUGGACAAUGGGCGAAAGCCUGAUCCAGCCAUGCCGCGUGUGUGAAGAAGGUCUUCGGAUUGUAAAGCACUUUAAGUGGAGAAGGUUGUAACUUAAUACGUUGCAACUUUGACGUUACCGACAGAAUAAGCACCGGCUAACUUCGUGCCAGCAGCCG